CCUACGGGAGGCAGCAGUGGGGAAUUUUGCGCAAUGCUCGUAAGAGUGACGCAGCGACGCCGCGUGAAUGACGAAGGCCUUCGGGACGUAAAGCUCUUUCGACAGGGAAGAAAAUGCCUAUAAGUAACUGUGUAUGUAUUGACGGUACCUGUAUAAGCAGCCCCGGCUAACUCCGUGCCAGCAGCCGCGGUAAUACGGAGGGGUCGAGCGUUGGUCGGAGUGACUGGGCGUAAAGAGCACGUAGGCGGUGUUGUAAGUCAAUAGUCAAAGACUAGAGCUCAACUUUAGUAAGGCUAGUGAUACUAUAAUACUAGAGUAUCAGAGAGGAAUGCAGAAUUCCUGGUGUAGCGGUGAAAUGCGUAGAUAUCAGGAGGAAUACCGUUAGCGAAGGCGGCAAUCUGGCUGGAAACUGACGCUGAGGUGCGAAAGCGUGGGUAGCAAACAGGAUUAGAUACCCGGGUAGUC
Molecule: ribosomal RNA, 465 nt
Filed under: uncultured bacterium
Lineage: Bacteria
Description: partial 16S ribosomal RNA
Rfam family: Bacterial small subunit ribosomal RNA
Source: RNAcentral